Molecule: long non-coding RNA, 2362 nt
Organism: Mirounga angustirostris (Northern elephant seal)
Lineage: Eukaryota; Metazoa; Chordata; Mammalia; Carnivora; Phocidae
Exons: 3
Source: RefSeq, a predicted model, not a curated record
GUGUCAGAUUUGCCAUAGUUGAGCCUCACCAAAUUCAAGAGAAGAAACCAUAGGAUCCACCUCUCCAUUGUAGAAAGAUCGUUUAAGAUAGAAUAUAUUCGGGGUGCCUGGGUGGCUCAGUCGGUUAAACGACUGCCUUCGGCUCGGGUCAUGCUCCCAGGGUCCUGGGAUCGAGUCCCGCAUCGGGCUCCCUGCUCGGUGGAGAGCCUGCUUCUCCCUCUCCCUCUGUCUGCCGCUCUGCCUACUUACGCUCUCUCUCUAUCUCUGUUAAAUAAAUAAAUUAAAAAAAAAAAAAUCUUAAAAAAAAUUAAAAAAAAAGAAUAUAUUGAUGUGAACAUCUUUGGAAAUUACUGUCUGUCAAAACAGCACUGCUUAGUGUGAGGAAAUAAAUCUAUAUUUGAUUAAGCCAUCAUAGCCAAGUUCCUAUAACACACAUAUAUUCUGUUAUAGAUACAUAUUGCAUAUGUUUUUGUUUGUUUCCAUGCUUAAUAUGUGUCCUCUACUAGACUGUGAACUCCACUAGGGCAGAGAUUAUUUCCUAUUGUGCUCCCUGUCUUGUUUACAGUAGCUGUUAAUUUUAACAAGAAUUUGUUGAAAUGUACCCUGAAGCAAUAGAGAGAAGGCUGAGAGCUUUGGGAGUUAAAUGUCUUUCACUGUGGUCAAGUACAGAGUUCCAUGUUGCAAUACACUGACUCACAGCCAUCAGGAGGGAGACUUCUAGGCCUGAUCUACUCCCGAACCUUGAAGAUUAGCCAGGGAAGAGGGACAUAUUACUGUGAAGUGACAUGCAAGUGAAGUUCAUUGCCAGGGUGGCUUCCCAAAGUUUCACCUUCAUUCCAAAGGGGAGAAAAGCAUUCUGAACUCUAGCGGUCAAGAAAAGUCUCCUCCCAUAGCUCUGAAUGCGGGGAGCAAAACUGACUGCUGGUCCCAGCUGCUGCACUCCGAAAUCCAGUACUGCUUUUGUGCUGAAGUCAAUGAUUGCGAAUGGCAGAGAUACUCAGGCAGGCCUGUGCUGGGAGACACACACUUCUCCGAUGUGCAAGUUUGGCUGCCUUGCCGAAGCACUGUUAGAACUGCACUGUAGGGGCGCCUGGGUGGCUCAGUCGUUAAGCGUCUGCCUUCGGAUCAGGUCAUGGUCCCAGGGUCCUGGGAUCGAGCCCCGCAUCAGGCUCCCUGCUCAGCGGGAAGCCUGCUUCUCCGUCUCCCACUCCCCCUGCUUGUGUUCCCUCUCUCGCUGUGUCUCUCUCUGUCAAAUAAAUAAAUAAAAUCUUAAAAAAAAAAAAAAAAAAGAACAGCACUGUAGUCUAAGACUUUCCCUACACAAAUUUACUUCCUUCCACCUCUCCUCCAUGAGGAUCAGACCUGUGUCAAGAUCUGAGCACCCUCCCAACCUCUUCAUACUCCCCAUUUUCCCUCAGGUGAUUUUCUUCAGUAAAUGACUUGCAUGUCUAUACCUGUCUAAUAUCUGCUUCUCAGAGGACCCAACCUAAUGCAAGUAGUGCCAGGAAGUGACCAGUAAAAUGGGGUCUGGGACCAAGUCACUCACUGUCAGUCAAGGAGGAUGCUAUUCUGAAGAAUGCAGGGCACAGAGAGUUGCACCCACGUGAUCCACUUCAAGCACUGAUGAUUUCACAGAAGUGACCUGGGAAAAUACCCCUGGAGAGAGAAAUUCUUUUAUAGAUUUAAUAAAUCAGGCAUUUGAAAAAUAUUGGAGCAACAAUGCUUAGAAGGCAUCGGAGCUUAUUACUGCAAAGUGGAAUUACUGCCUCGCAAAAGGCUAAUGUGAAAUUCAGGGCUUAAAGAUGACGUGUGAAGAGCCACAGGGCUCUAUGGUAGCUCUCUGAGCCUCUUACUCUGUAGUGAAAGAGCAGACAGAGCUAAGCGACCAACGGAAGGUGUCAUAUUUGAAGCUUCAGAGUUCCAGACACGCUUCACUGCCCGGCUGAGUGGGUGGGUACGCCAAGCUAAAAUCAGGGCUCCAGUUGGAGCCCUGGAACAUGCUUGAGGUGAGGAUUUCUGAAUUGGCUCCUCCCAAAGCGUUACCUCUGCACAUCUUCCUGCUCCAAAUCCUCCAAGGUCACACUUUGCCUACUUUUCCUUAGCAAGAGUGAGCUGCCUUGCUGGAAGAUGCUGAAGAGGCCCAUCUCCUGUGAGGACUCAGGGGCUUCUCUCAUGGACACCCCGCCACCCUGAACUCAUCUCCCAGCUACCAAGCCAAAUACAGGGUUCAAUCACAGGAUUACUGGGCUGGGGAAAUGCCAGGCCAAGGAGGGAGGAAAGGAAUAGUUCAUGCAAGGAAACGUAACAAUCGCUUACAUACCAGUAACAUGAGCCAAAGACUGUCUUUAGGAUUGGAUUUUUU